GCCCGGCUAGCUCAGUUGGUAGAGCAUUCGACUCUUACCGGGUCCAGCACUUCCCCCCCCCAGGGAUCUGCCAUCGAAUUGUCGUGGGUUCGAGCCCCACGUUGGGCG
This 108-nucleotide transfer RNA is filed under the name Puccinia triticina 1-1 BBBD Race 1. RNAcentral describes it as "Puccinia triticina tRNA PTTG_20321". It matches the Rfam family "tRNA". From Rfam's summary of the family: Transfer RNA (tRNA) molecules are approximately 80 nucleotides in length. Their secondary structure includes four short double-helical elements and three loops (D, anti-codon, and T loops). The record is from Rfam by way of RNAcentral. Lineage: Eukaryota; Fungi; Basidiomycota; Pucciniomycetes; Pucciniales; Pucciniaceae.